RNAcentral lists this ribosomal RNA (2436 nucleotides) under Triticum aestivum (bread wheat). RNAcentral's name for it is "partial small subunit ribosomal RNA". Lineage: Eukaryota; Viridiplantae; Streptophyta; Magnoliopsida; Poales; Poaceae. The record is from RNAcentral.
AUGGGCGCACGCUCCACCUCCCUGCUUCUACUGACUUCGAUGAUCCAUCUGCUCUCGCGCGCCUCGGCCCGCGAGUUCCUCUCGCCAGGCUCCUCGCUCUCCACCGAGGACGGCUCCGGCAUGCUCCAUUCGCCAAACGGCGCCUUCACCUGCGGCUUCCACAACAUCUCCCCAAACGCCUCCGUCUUCUCCGUCUGGUUCGCCGGCACGGCCGAGAAGACCGUCGUCUGGAGCGCAAACCAUCUCCGCCCCGUCUACUCCCGGGGAUCCCGGGCCGUGUUGCACGCUGACGGCAGCAUGGUUGUGGAAGACUACGACGGCGAGCCCGCGUGGGCAAACAACGUCAGCUCCUCAUCAAAGGCCGAGCAAGCCCGGCUGCUGGACACGGGCAACCUCGUCGUCAGCGGCCAAGGUGAUGUCAUUCUGUGGCAAAGCUUUGAUUCUCCUACUGAUACGCUGCUGCCCAAUCAGAGCAUCACUGCGGCUACGAAGUUGGUGUCCGCUCAUAGGUUACUUGCUCCUGGGCGCUACAGUUUCCAUUUCGACGACGCGCAUUUGCUCUCGCUGUUUGAUGAUGAGCAGGACAUCUCUUUUAUCUACUGGCCAAAGCCUGAUCUUGCUGCCUGGGCAAGGCAAAGAAACCCAUUUAGUACCACCACCGUUGGGGUCCUUGAUAGCUGGGGGUAUUUCCUUGGGAGUGAUGAUUUGACUUUCAAGUCUGCUGACUGGGGUCCUGGGGUUAUGAGGAGGCUAACAUUGGAUUAUGAUGGCAACCUCAGAUUAUACAGUCUAGAAAACCGGAAAUGGUCGGUCACAUGGAUAGCAUUUCAGACCUGCUUCGUACACGGUCAGUGUGGUAUGAAUGGAAUAUGUGUGUAUACACCUAGGCCUGCUUGCGCAUGCGCCCCUGGACACGAGGUCAUCGACCCAAGUGACCGGAGCAAAGGCUGCCGGCCGAGGUUCAACCUCAGUUGUGAUGGGCAGGAGAUGAAAUUUGUGAAGCUACCCUCCACUGACUUCAUAGCUUAUGAUCAAAGUAAGCGCAGCUUAGUUUCCUUUGAUACUUGCAAGCAGAUAUGCAUGGAUGACUGCAGUUGCAAAGGUUUCUCAUACUGGCAAGGAGGUGGAUCCUGCUACCCAAAGUCAUCCCUUGUUGGCGGGGUAACCAGCCCAGGCUUACCUGGUUCUAUCUAUCUCAAGCUUCCAAAGACAGUACAGGUCUCAGGGUCCUCAAUUCCUCAAUCGCAGCCUUUUGGUCCCACAUAUGCUCCGAACUGUAGUGCAAAGAACAAAUAUUUCACUGCAGAUUUUCCGGAUAUACCCAAGAGCAAUCAGAGUGGAUCAAAGUAUUUGUACUUCUAUGGGUUCUUAUCAGCAAUAUUCUGUGUGGAGGUAAUAUUUGUGGCAUUAGGAUGCUGGUUUAUGGUGAGAUUGGAGGGCAAGCAGUUAACAGGAGUAUGGCCAGCUGAGGUUGGCUAUGAGAUGAUAACCAACCACUUCCGGAGAUAUACUUACAAGGAGUUGCAGAGAGCAACUCGGAAGUUCAAGUGUCAGAUUGGGAGGGGCGCAUCUGGUCUUGUGUACAAGGGGAUCUUGAAAGACAAGAGGGCAGUAGCAGUGAAAAGGUUGGCAGACAUAAACCAAGGCGAAGAAGAGUUCCAACAUGAACUGAGUGUGAUUGGAAAGAUCUACCAUAUGAAUCUGGUGAGGGUUUGGGGAUUCUGUUCUGAUGGUCCACACAGGAUAUUGGUUUUAGAGUACGUUGAAAAUGGUUCUUUGGACAAAACGCUGUUUAGUGGAAAGGCCUCACAGAUAUUACUUGGAUGGAAUGAAAGAUUUAAGAUUGCUCUAGGGGUGGCAAAAGGAUUGGCUUAUCUUCAUCAUGAGUGCCUGGAAUGGGUUAUCCACUGCGACCUCAAGCCUGAGAACAUACUGUUGGAUGGGAACUUGGAGCCAAAGAUCACCGACUUUGGCCUCGCAAAACUUCUGAAUAGGGGUGGAUCCAACAAAAGUGUAUCGCGGAUCCAUGGAACUAGAGGUUAUAUAGCUCCUGAGUGGGUUUCUAGCCUCCCAAUAACAGCAAAGGUUGAUGUCUACAGCUUUGGAGUGGUUCUCCUAGAACUACUGAAGGGGGCUCGUGUUUCAGACUGGGCGCCAAAUGCUGAUGAAGAAGUGGAAAUGGUCCUUCGAAGGGUCGUUAGGAUGCUUGCAGAAAAUCUGAUGCUGGAGGGUAGCAAACAGUUAUGGAUCGAUGACUUCAUUGACUCCAGGUUAAACCGCCAGUUCAAUGACCUGCAAGCAAGAACAAUGAUCAAGCUGGCUGUUUCAUGCGUAGAGGAAGACAGUAGAAAAAGACCCACAAUGGAAAAUGCUGUGCAGAUGCUCCUUUCAGUUGAUGAAGCCAGUGGCAUAAUGCAGCAGUAUUCUACCAACUGA